CCUGAUAGUGUUGGGAUCUCGAAAUUUUGAUGUAGGUGAAGAAGGGAUUCCUAUCUCGAAAUUCUGUUGUAGGUGAAGCGCCUCCUGUAGGCCAUGGAGAUGACCAGGGAUGCAUUAGGAGGCGGGCGACGUAAAGCGCUGGAAAAGAGUAUUGUAUUAUGUAUGGUCCUCCUUCACUUUUUGGAAGGUUGUAUAGUCGUUUUGAUACAUAAGAUAUAAUUUCAGGUUCUACAUACAUAUUGGUUUGAGAUGUUUUCAUUUUUUAUUAUUUCAAUGAAUAAUGCAUUCUGGAUCUGUUUUAUCAUACCAAUUUGAGGCAUUCUGUAAGGGUUGGUUGGAGGAAUAUUAUUUUUUGACGCACUAUGUGUGAACAUGUUGAAGGGGCAUGACCAUCAACGAGCUUGUGGCAGAAGUUUGAAUGUGAGUAGCUCCUAUCUUUUGUGUACUUAUUUUCAGUCUAUCAAUCAAAGGGUAGAAUGAUUACAUGUGCAGUUAUUUUGGUGUGAGCUUUGACAAGGGAUGCCGAUUGUUAUGUUGAAGAGGCUAAAAUCUUCCUCGGUAAGUGAUGUGCAUUAUGCAUCUGAUAAAAAAAAGAGGCUUUAGGGAGUUAAUUAUGCCCAUGAGAGGUGGUCCUGAUAUUAGGCUUGCUAUAACAUGUCAUAUUUAACACGUAAUGUUCUUUACCAACCAAAUGUUCACGUUUUAGAUUAUAAAGAAUGAUGAUCUCAAAGACAAAGAGCUCCAAGAACUCGGUUCUGAAACUUUUGGUUAGUCUGAGUAAUGAAAUGUGACCCUACUAGAAGUUCUACCUCAUUUCAGUUCUUCUCUUUUUCAUUUAAUUAUCUAUUUCAUUCCAAGCUAACUGUCUUACAUACCUAUAUCUUUCAAUGCAAGACUACACGAGGACUAUGGUCUAUGGGAUAUCAAGCUCCUUUAAAUAAUCUGCACCGGUUCUUCUGGAGAAUAAUGUGUAUAUGCAUGGUCUACAAUGGAGUUUACAAGAUAGAUUCACUUACUCAAAGAUUCAGCCUAACAUUUUCCAUAAGGAUUAUGAUUAUGUAUGUUAUACCAACUCUCAGUAAUAUCUACUACUAAUGUCUUAGUUGGUAGUCUCGCCUCACUCCACCUCAUCCCACC
RNAcentral lists this long non-coding RNA (1137 nucleotides) under Triticum aestivum (bread wheat). Its description in RNAcentral is "long non-coding RNA (TAES_LNC025253)". The record is from RNAcentral. Lineage: Eukaryota; Viridiplantae; Streptophyta; Magnoliopsida; Poales; Poaceae.